GACGAACGCUGGCGGCGUGCUUAACACAUGCAAGUCGAGCGGUAAGGCCCUUUCGGGGGUACACGAGCGGCGAACGGGUGAGUAACACGUGGGUGACCUGCCUUUAGCUCUGGGAUAAGCCUGGGAAACCGGGUCUAAUACCGGAUAUGACUCCGCGGUGCAUGCUGUGGGGUGGAAAGCCUUGUGCGGCUGGAGAUGGGCCCGCGGCCUAUCAGCUUGUUGGUGGGGUGAUGGCCACCAAGGCGACGACGGGUAGCCGGCCUGAGAGGGCGACCGGCCACACUGGGGACUGAGACACGGUCCAGACUCCUACGGGAGGCAGCAGUGGGGAAUCUUGCGCAAUGGGCGAAAGCCUGACGCAGCGACGCCGCGUGAGGGAUGACGGCCUCGG
RNAcentral lists this ribosomal RNA (391 nucleotides) under uncultured bacterium. Its description in RNAcentral is "bacterial SSU rRNA". It matches the Rfam family "Bacterial small subunit ribosomal RNA", at positions 28 to 420 of the family's 1533-position model. The record is from RNAcentral.